CGUUAAGUGUCUGAGGUGUAAGUGGUGGUCUCUUAAACCAUAAACGGUGUUUAACCCUUAACGA
This 64-nucleotide transfer RNA is filed under the name Takobia yixiani. RNAcentral describes it as "tRNA-Lys". The record is from RNAcentral. Lineage: Eukaryota; Metazoa; Arthropoda; Insecta; Ephemeroptera; Baetidae.